GCUUGUUGGUGGGGUAACGGCCUACCAAGGCAUCGACGGGUAGCUGGUCUGAGAGGACGAUCAGCCGGAUUGGGACUGAGAUACGGCCCAGACUCCUACGGGGGGCAGCAAUUAGGAAUCUUGCACAAUGGGGGAAACCCUGAUGCAGCGACGUCGCGUGGAGGAUGAAAUCUUUCGGGAUGUAAACUCCUUUUAACGGGGAAGAAAAAAAUGACGGUACCCGUUGAAUAAGCCCCGGCUAACUACGUGCCAGCAGCCGCGGUAAUACGUAGGGGGCGAGCGUUGUCCGAAGUUACUGGGCGUAAAGAGCGCGUAGGCUGGUCUUUAAGUGAGUGGUGAAAGGUUCGGGCUCAACCCGGACACUGCCUUUCAUACUGGGGACCUUGAGUGUGGGAGAGGCGAGUGGAAUGGUCGGUGUAGCGGUGAAAUGCGUAGAUAUCGAUCGGAACACCCAUGGCGAAGGCAGCUCGCUGGCCUGACACUGACGCUGAGGCGCGAAAGCGUGGGGAGCAAACAGGAUUAGAUACCCUGGUAGUCCACGCCGUAAACGAUGAGUGCUAGAUGUAAGGGGUAUCGACCCCCCUUGUGUCGCAGCUAACGCAAUAAGCACCCCGCCUGGGGAGUACGG
Molecule: ribosomal RNA, 628 nt
Filed under: uncultured bacterium
Lineage: Bacteria
Description: bacterial SSU rRNA
Rfam family: Bacterial small subunit ribosomal RNA
Source: RNAcentral